CUGCCCGGUGAUAUAAUUUAACGGCCGCGGUAUACUGACCGUGCGAAGGUAGCAUAAUCACUUGUUCUUUAAAUGGGGACUAGUAUGAAUGGCACCACGAGGGCUUUACUGUCUCCUUUCUUCAAUCAGUGAAACUGACCUCCCUGUGAAGAGGCAGGGAUACUACUAUAAGACGAGAAGACCCCAUGGAGCUUUAAACCCAACAACAGCCCAAACACCUACCCCCUCAAAGUUUUUAAAGUUUUGUUAGUUGGUUUUAGGUUGGGGUGACCGCGGAGUACAAACCACCCUCCACGACGAAUGGGCCUACCCCCUUACCCAAGAAUUACACCUCUAAGGAUUAACACAUUAACGUAAAAUGAUCCAAAUAUUUGAUCAACGAACCAAGUUACCCUGGGGAUAACAGCGCAAUCCAUUUUUAGAGCCCCUAUCGACAAAUGGGUUUACGACCUCGAUGUUGGAUCAGGGUAUCCCGGAGGUGCAGCCGCUUCCAAUGGUUUGUUUGUUCAACAAUUAAAACCCUACGUGAUCUG
This 533-nucleotide ribosomal RNA is filed under the name Euphlyctis cyanophlyctis (skittering frog). RNAcentral describes it as "partial 16S ribosomal RNA". It matches the Rfam family "Bacterial large subunit ribosomal RNA", at positions 1859 to 2607 of the family's 2925-position model. The record is from RNAcentral. Lineage: Eukaryota; Metazoa; Chordata; Amphibia; Anura; Dicroglossidae.